RNAcentral lists this ribosomal RNA (253 nucleotides) under uncultured bacterium. RNAcentral describes it as "partial 16S ribosomal RNA". It matches the Rfam family "Bacterial small subunit ribosomal RNA", at positions 524 to 776 of the family's 1533-position model. The record is from RNAcentral.
UACGUAGGUGGCAAGCGUUGUCCGGAAUUAUUGGGCGUAAAGCGCGCGCAGGUGGUUUCUUAAGUCUGAUGUGAAAGCCCACGGCUCAACCGUGGAGGGUCAUUGGAAACUGGGGAACUUGAGUGCAGAAGAGGAAAGUGGAAUUCCAAGUGUAGCGGUGAAAUGCGUAGAGAUUUGGAGGAACACCAGUGGCGAAGGCGGCAUCCUGGACCGGUAUUGACGCUGAGGAGCGAAAGCCAGGGGAGCAAACGGG